Molecule: transfer-messenger RNA, 360 nt
Filed under: Anaerovoracaceae
Lineage: Bacteria; Bacillati; Bacillota; Clostridia; Peptostreptococcales
Also listed under: 1 other name
Description: Eubacterium_B sp017941085 Standard tmRNA
Rfam family: transfer-messenger RNA
About the family: Bacterial tmRNA, also known as 10Sa RNA or SsrA, is named for its dual tRNA and mRNA-like properties. Its role is to liberate the mRNA from a stalled ribosome.
Source: RNAcentral
GGGGAUGUCAGGUUUCGACGGGGGUAGAGAAACCGGAUAAGCGAGCCGUGGACGCCGGAUCCACGUAAAAAGCUGGCCGUUUAAACACAAACGCAAAAAGUGAUAAUAAUUUCGCAUUUGCUGCUUAAUUGAUGCAGCCCGCGCGUCAUGCCCGGUUCACCUGCAGGCUGGGGUCAUGGCGUCGACUAUGCAGGAAAACUUCGUUGUGACUCCCGUAACAACGAGGGACUAACGGGAUAACUCGGGCUGUGGCCUGCCGAUGGGCAGCAGUCUGGGCGAAAACUCAAUCAUCGGAUGCGCUCGGAGAAAGUCUAGUGGACGUGCUUUCGGACAUGGGUUCGAUUCCCAUCAUCUCCACCA